CUUACAAAUACAAAUGUAAUAGGUUAAGAUCUGGUGAACUACAAUAAAUACCUUGUAAAGUACACAGUUUUGGGGUUUUUCCCCCUCCCCACUUUAAUUUCCCUCCUACAGUUGUACCUCUGGUUAUGAACUUAAUUCCUUCCGGAGGUCCGUUGUUAACCUGAAACCGUUCUUAAGCUGAGAUACCACUUUAGCUAAUGGGGCCUCCCACUGGCGCCACACCACCGCCACAUGAUUUCUGUUCUCAUCCUGAGGUAAAGUUCUUAACCCGAGGUACUACUUCUGGGUUAGCGGAGUCUAUAACCCGAAGCGUUUGUAACCCGAGGUGUUCGUAACCCGAGGUACCACUGUACACGGAUUCUGUUUCUUUUUUUUCUUUCUGUCUUUUAUUUACGUCUCACAAUGUUUCGUGCACAUAUAAUUAUGUACUUUCUGAACUUUCGAUAAAGAUGUUUAAAAACUAAACAAAAAUAUUUUUAAGACUAAUGCUUCUCAAGUUCUAGUCAUUAUUUUUUUAAAAAAAGAGAUAGCUGCUGAAAUAUGCUAACAAAUGUCACUGCACACCAAAUGUCAUAUGUAAUAAUGUGCUCUUUCUCUCCAAUUGGCGAGAAGCUGACAGUGGCAUCUGGGAGCUGGAUUUCCUAGAAAGUGUCAUAAAGCAUGGUUGCUUCCACACAUCUCCAUGAGGCUGAGGUAUCUUCUUCACAAACUCUGUUGGGAUGAGGCCGAGCCUCCACAAUUGUGUGCAGCACUUCACAGCGGUGGCGGCAAGCCUCGUCAGACCUUGCAGCGGUGGUGGCAAGCUUUGCCAGACCUCGUGGCAGCAGCAGCAAGCCUCACUGGUCCUCGCAGAAGUGGCAGCAGUGGGCUUCGAUGGGCCUCGCAGGGGUGGCAGCGGACCUCGAUGGGCCUUGCAGUGGUGGUGGCAAGCCUUGCAGGGCCUCGUGGCAACAGCAGGCCUUGCCGGACUUCCUCCCAGGGGUGGAAGAAGGGGGUGCGGUAGGGGCAGUCCACCCCAGGUGUCACCACAGAGAGGGGUGACAAAAUGCCGGGAGGCAAUCACCACAGGGCCUGCAGUGCGCCCGAGCCACACAUCUCUCCUGGGAGUGACAUGGUGGCUUGGGCGCCCGCAGGCUCCACGCUGCCCCAAAUGGUCCACCUGCCUCCUCCCUCUCAGCUAUAGGGCGGCUGAGUGGGAGGAGGCAGGCAGACUCCUCGGAGGCCCUAGGGAGCGUCCUGCCCCAGUUCGCCCCACCCUGUGGGCAGCUGGCUCUGCCCCUGGGUGCAGGGCACACGCACCGCCCCUGGCGCCCGAUCGGCUUGCUCCGCCACUGGUUCCUCCCACUACUAGUCUCCUCCCAAUGCACAAUGCGCAUGACGUCUCAUGUGCAUGAUGAGCCCCCUCAUUGUUGGAUGCAAGUUGGCACCUCUGCCUCCACGCUAGUGAUGUCACAACUUUUCAUGAUGAACUGAAAGCUGGAUUUUAAUUUCCUGUAACACUUAAUAUACGAUAUUAUCGGGCCAAACCAACCUUGAUGGUCGAGAUCUUUCUAUAAUGUGUACUCAAGCAUAUGUCUCAGUCAGCGAAGAUCCUCUUCAACUUGAAUUAGAAGCUUCCUCUUCGUGGCUUCAAACUCUAAUUGUUUAAUCUUCACAAUAUAAGGGCUUAUAUAAGGGAUGCGGGUGGCACUGUGGUCUAAACCACUGAGCCUCUUGGGCUUGCCGAGAAGGUCAGCGGUUCGAAUCCCUGUGAUGGGGUGAGCUCCCAUUGCUCUGUCCCAGCUCCUGCCAACCUAGCAUUUCCAUUGACCGAUUGCCUAAAAAAAAAGCUCAGCAACUGAGUAUUAGUUCUAGAAAUAUGGCAACCCAAAGGAAACAGUGUGUGUUAGAACUUGCCACUGGCUGCAGCUGUUCAGAUGGUUCAGAUCCAUUGUCAUAUGUGUAUAGUGGCACAUUUCCUGAACUUUGAUGACCACCUUGUCUAGGUCUUUGCCUACAACUAAUCCAGAAUGUGGCAGCUGGACUGGUGACCAGGAGUGGCCACCAAGACCACAUAACACUGGUCCUGAAAUACCUACAUUGACUCCCAGUACGUUUCCGGGCACAAUUCAAAGUGUUGGUGCUGACCUUUAAAGCCCUAAAUGGCCUCAGCCCAGUAUACUUGAAGGAGCGUCUCCAGCACAACGUUCUGCCCAGACACUGAGAUCCAGCUCCAAGGUCCUUCUGGCGGUUCCCCCCCAUCAGAAGUGAGGUUACAAGGAACCAGGCAGAGGGCCUUCUUGGUAGUGGCACCCGCCUCGUGGAACUCCCUCCCACCAGAUGUCAAGGAAAUAAACAACAUUCUGACUUUUAGAAGUUGAGGGAAGUUUUUAAUGUUUGAUGUUUUAUCAUGUGUCAGAGCUGGCUCCAGGUCCCAGCUCACAGAGGACCAACGCUAGCCGGCAGUAAUGUACAAAAGUCUUUAUUGAAGUACAGUUUCCAUUUUCAAGCCGCAGCGCCCCAGCUCUACGUCUAGGGGUUAGAUCGGCGAAGCUCCAUCUGAGUCUCCGCCCCUGUACACCAGUUUAAGAUUCUAGCCUUACUCCACCUCUUACGUCUCUCCUUUCUCCUCUGGGUCCUGCUACCCCCCGGGGUCCCUUCCUUCCUGGAUUCUUCUGACGCUGACGUUGAGCCCCCUGACUCCUCCCCCUCUUUGCGGCGGGCUUUGGGACCUGGCUCCCUAUCCGGGCUGCCAACUGCGCCGCCCUCCUGUACAUUUGAACUUGGCGCGCGCGCCCAGCCUUCAACCUUCCUCUCGACCGUUUCCUCGCUCCCCGAUGGAGGCGUGGCCAAUCCUGACUCAUGUCCUCCCACUGGCAGUGCGCCGCCUGAUCCCGAUGCCUGGGACCCCUCCCCCCUACUGCACUCUGGUGUGGACGCUGGUCCUGAUUUCCAACUGCUGCUCUCUGAGUCCCCUCUGGCCCCUUCUUCCUGGGGUGU
This 2979-nucleotide long non-coding RNA is filed under the name Podarcis lilfordi (Lilford's wall lizard). Lineage: Eukaryota; Metazoa; Chordata; Lepidosauria; Squamata; Lacertidae. The record is from RNAcentral.